RNAcentral lists this ribosomal RNA (328 nucleotides) under uncultured eukaryote. RNAcentral describes it as "partial 18S ribosomal RNA". It matches the Rfam family "Eukaryotic small subunit ribosomal RNA", at positions 1470 to 1796 of the family's 1831-position model. The record is from RNAcentral.
CCCUUAGAUGUUCUGGGCUGCACGCGCGCUACACUGAUGCGCUCAACGAGUUUAUGACCUUGCCCGGAAGGGUUGGGUAAUCUUCUUAAAACGCAUCGUGAUGGGGAUAGAUUAUUGCAAUUAUUAAUCUUCAACGAGGAAUUCCUAGUAAGCGCGAGUCAUCAGCUCGUGCUGAUUACGUCCCUGCCCUUUGUACACACCGCCCGUCGCUCCUACCGAUUGAGUGGUCCGGUGAGGCUUUGGGAUCUGAGCGGAAAGAGCGUUUCGCUGUUUCUGCUCGGAAAACUCAGUCGAACCUUAUCAUUUAGAGGAAGGAGAAGUCGUAACA